GACGAACGCUGGCGGCGUGCUUAACACAUGCAAGUCGAACGGAAAGGCCCUGCUUUUGUGGGGUGCUCGAGUGGCGAACGGGUGAGUAACACGUGAGUAACCUGCCCUUGACUUUGGGAUAACUUCAGGAAACUGGGGCUAAUACCGGAUAGGAGCUCCUGCUGCAUGGUGGGGGUUGGAAAGUUUCGGCGGUUGGGGAUGGACUCGCGGCUUAUCAGCUUGUUGGUGGGGUAGUGGCUUACCAAGGCUUUGACGGGUAGCCGGCCUGAGAGGGUGACCGGCCACAUUGGGACUACGGUAGGGACCAGUCUCCAAUGGGAGGCAGCAGGGGGAAAUAUUGCACAGUGGGGGGGAGCCUGUGACGGCGGCCCCGGGUGCGGAAUGACGGCUUACGGGUGAUAAACCGCUUUCGCCUGAAACAUAGCGUGAGUGACGGUAAUGAAUAAAAAAGCACCGGCUAACUACGUG
This 468-nucleotide ribosomal RNA is filed under the name uncultured bacterium. RNAcentral's name for it is "partial 16S ribosomal RNA". It matches the Rfam family "Bacterial small subunit ribosomal RNA", at positions 28 to 507 of the family's 1533-position model. The record is from RNAcentral.